This 214-nucleotide ribosomal RNA is filed under the name Blepharisma japonicum. Its description in RNAcentral is "partial Bacterial large subunit ribosomal RNA". It matches the Rfam family "Bacterial large subunit ribosomal RNA", at positions 1657 to 1870 of the family's 2925-position model. Lineage: Eukaryota; Ciliophora; Heterotrichea; Heterotrichida; Blepharismidae. The record is from RNAcentral.
ACACAGGUGGGUUGGUUGAAUAUACCAAGGCGCUUGAGAGAACGGUGUCGAAGGAACUAGGCAAAUUGCUCUCGUAACUUCGGGAUAAGAGAGACCCGGCUUAGCGCAAGCUUUGUCGGGUGGCACAAAAAUGGGGGUAGCGACUGUUUACUUAAAACACAGGGCUCUGCGAACUCGUAAGAGGACGUAUAGGGUCUGACGCCUGCCCGGUGCC